Molecule: ribosomal RNA, 521 nt
Filed under: uncultured bacterium
Lineage: Bacteria
Description: partial 16S ribosomal RNA
Rfam family: Bacterial small subunit ribosomal RNA
Source: RNAcentral
ACUCAAAUGAAUUGACGGGGACUUGCACAAGCAGUGGAUUAUGUGGUUUAAUUCGAUGGUAAACGAAGAACCUCACCAGGGUUUGAAACCUACGUGAAAGCUCUAAGAAACUAGAGCCCUCGCAAGACUAGUAGGCAGGUGAUGCAUGGCCGUCGUCAGUUCGUGGUUUGAAUUGUUCCCUUAAGUGGGGUAACGAACGCAACCCUCGUCGUGUGUUACAAGUGUCACACGAGACCGCCCCGACCUUUGUCCGCGAAGCAAGUAUGCUUACGCACAAAGGUCGGGGAGGAAGGAGAGGAUGACGCCAGGUCAGCAUGUCCCUUUGAUAUCCUGGGCUACACACAUAAUACAAUCGUCAUUACAACAGGUCGCGACGGAGUAAUCCUGAGCCAAUCCUUAGAAAAAUGGCGCCAGUUCGGAUUGAGGUCUGCAACUCGACCUCAUGAAGUUGGAAUUGCUAGUAAUCGCGGGUCAGAUAUACCGCGGUGAAUACGUUCUCAAGUCUUGUACACACCGCCCGU